This 253-nucleotide ribosomal RNA is filed under the name uncultured bacterium. RNAcentral's name for it is "partial 16S ribosomal RNA". It matches the Rfam family "Bacterial small subunit ribosomal RNA", at positions 524 to 776 of the family's 1533-position model. The record is from RNAcentral.
UACAGAGGUGGCAAGCGUUGUUCGGAAUUACUGGGCGUAAAGGGCGCGUAGGCGGCCUUCUAAGUCGGACGUGAAAGCCCCAGGCUUAACCUGGGAACUGCGUCCGAUACUGGGAGGCUUGGAUUCGGGAGAGGGAUGUGGAAUUCCAGGUGUAGCGGUGAAAUGCGUAGAUAUCUGGGGGAACACCGGUGGCGAAGGCGGCAUCCUGGACCGAGAUCGACGCUGAGGCGCGAAAGCUAGGGGAGCAAACGGG